RNAcentral lists this ribosomal RNA (418 nucleotides) under uncultured bacterium. RNAcentral's name for it is "bacterial SSU rRNA". It matches the Rfam family "Bacterial small subunit ribosomal RNA", at positions 29 to 430 of the family's 1533-position model. The record is from RNAcentral.
AUGAACGCUGGCGGCGUGYUUAACACAUGCAAGUCGAACGGGGAACAAAUUAUUGAAGCUUCGGCAGAUCUAGCUUGUUCCUAGUGGCGGACGGGUGAGUAAYGCGUGGGUAACCUGCCUCGCACUGGGGGAUAACAGUCAGAAAUGGCUGCUAAUACCGCAUAAGCGCACAGUACCGCAUGGUACAGUGUGAAAAACUCCGGUGGUGUGAGAUGGACCCGCGUUGGAUUAGCUAGUUGGCAGGGCAGCGGCCUACCAAGGCGACGAUCCAUAGCCGGCCUGAGAGGGUGAACGGCCACAUUGGGACUGAGACACGGCCCAGACUCCUACGGGAGGCAGCAGUGGGGAAUAUUGCACAAUGGGGGAAACCCUGAUGCAGCGACGCCGCGUGAAGGAAGAAGUAUCUCGGUAUGUAAAC